UACGUAGGGGGCUAGCGUUGUCCGGAAUCAUUGGGCGUAAAGAGCGUGUAGGCGGUUCGGUAAGUCCGCUGUGAAAGUCGGGGGCUCAACCCUCGAAUGCCGGUGGAUACUGUCGGGCUAGAGUACGGAAGAGGCGAGUGGAAUUCCUGGUGUAGCGGUGAAAUGCGCAGAUAUCAGGAAGAACACCCGUGGCGAAAGCGGCUCUCUGGAACGGUACUGACGCUGAGACGCGAAAGCGUGGGGAGCGAACAGG
This 253-nucleotide ribosomal RNA is filed under the name uncultured bacterium. RNAcentral's name for it is "partial 16S ribosomal RNA". It matches the Rfam family "Bacterial small subunit ribosomal RNA", at positions 524 to 776 of the family's 1533-position model. The record is from RNAcentral.